GCUACGGGAGGCAGCAGUGUGGAAUAUUGGUCAAUGGACGAGAGUCUGAACCAGCCAAGUAGCGUGAAGGAUGACUGCCCUAUGGGUUGUAAACUUCUUUUAUAAAGGAAUAAAACGAGGCACGUGUGCCUUUUUGCAUGUACUUUAUGAAUAAGGAUCGGCUAACUCCGUGCCAGCAGCCGCGGUAAUACGGAGGAUCCGAGCGUUAUCCGGAUUUAUUGGGUUUAAAGGGAGCGUAGAUGGGUUGUUAAGUCAGUUGUGAAAGUUUGCGGCUCAACCGUAAAAUUGCAAUUGAUACUGGCAGUCGUGAGUACAGUUGAGGUAGGCGGAAUUCGUGGUGUAGCGGUGAAAUGCUUAGAUAUCACGAAGAACCCCGAUUGCGAAGGCAGCUUACUAAACUGUGACUGACAUUGAUGCUCGAAAGUGUGGGUAUCAAACAGGAUUAGAUACCCUUGUAGUC
Molecule: ribosomal RNA, 460 nt
Filed under: uncultured bacterium
Lineage: Bacteria
Description: partial 16S ribosomal RNA
Rfam family: Bacterial small subunit ribosomal RNA
Source: RNAcentral